Molecule: small RNA, 329 nt
Filed under: Pongo abelii (Sumatran orangutan)
Lineage: Eukaryota; Metazoa; Chordata; Mammalia; Primates; Hominidae
Description: processed transcript
Source: RNAcentral
CGCCUUGGAACGCGCUCCGGGGUCAGGCCAGCCGAGCAAGGCGCAGAGAGACAACAUAGGCGGCCCGGAAGGCAAAAGGGCCCGGACGGCCUACACGCGCUACCAGACCCUGGAGCUGGAGAAGGAGUUCCACUUCAACCGUUACCUGACCCGCAGAAGAAGGAUUGAAAUAGCACAUGCUCUUUGCCUCUCCGAGAGACAAAUUAAAAUCUGGUUCCAAAACCGGAGAAUGAAGUGGAAAAAAGAUAAUAAGCUGAAAAGCAUGAGCAUGGCCGCGGCAGGAGGGGCCUUCCGUCCCUGAGUAUCUGAGCGUUUAAAGUACUGAGCAG